CCUACGGGAGGCAGCAGUAGGGAAUCUUCCACAAUGGACGAAAGUCUGAUGGAGCAACGCCGCGUGAGUGAUGAAGGUUUUCGGAUCGUAAAACUCUGUUCGUAAGGGUAAGGAACAAGUAGCGUUAGGAAAUGAACGUACCUUGACGGUACCUUAUUAGAAAGCCACGGCUAACUACGUGCCAGCAGCCGCGGUAAUACGUAGGUGGCAAGCGUUGUCCGGAUUUAUUGGGCGUAAAGCGCGCGCAGGUGGGUUUCUUAAGUCUGAUGUGAAGCCCACGGCUCAACCGUGGAGGGUCAUUGGAAACUGGGAGACUUGAGUGCAGAAGAGGAUAGUGGAAUUCCCAGUGUAGCGGUGAAAUGCGUAGAGAUUUUGGAGGACACCAGUGGCGAAGGCGACUGUCUGGUCUGUAACUGACACUGAGGCGCGAAAGCGUGGGGGAGCAAACAGGAUUAGAUACCUGGUAGUCCACGCCGUAAACGAUGAGUGCUAAGUGUUAGGGGGUUUCCGCCCCUUAGUGCUGCAGCUAACGCAUUAAGCACUCCGCCUGGGGAGUACGACCGCAAGGUUGAAACUCAAAGGAAUUGACGGGGGCCCGCACAAGCGGUGGAGCAUGUGGUUUAAUUCGAAGCAACGCGAAGAACCUUAC
RNAcentral lists this ribosomal RNA (649 nucleotides) under bacterium HN3-1-53. Its description in RNAcentral is "bacterial SSU rRNA". It matches the Rfam family "Bacterial small subunit ribosomal RNA", at positions 338 to 974 of the family's 1533-position model. The record is from RNAcentral.